CUGGCCUUAGAAGAAUGUGCUGUGGCCAACAGAGAGCCAGAAAUAUACUGCCGAGGAAACCUCAGCCUGGGUAAGGUCUCAAAUGAAUUAGCUCCCUACGUUAUCAAUUCCAAAGGACUGUAAAACAAGUACCUACAUGUUGAAGAGAGAAGGUAUAUGCACGUUGAAGAAAGAAAAUAAUUUAUCAAGAUCUCAAAUCAAGGGUUUGGAAGCCCCCAGAAUCAUUGUUGGAGCACUGUGCCAUGGAGCACCUUGAAGAUCCACUUCCAGCUGUGGACUCUUCCAGGAAAGAAGAAAUGAGAAAACAUCACCUUUUCUCCACACCCACCCUCAACUCCCACUUCUGUACUAUAGAAGCAAAAUUGAUUAGGCUGGCUAAUUUGAAGAGAAAAAGAUGAUAGGGGCUUUGUGCUUUAGAGGUAGAAGAGGGUAAUAGUCAGGUUCACUCUGACAAAGCCCACUAGAGAUGGUAGACCCACUGGUAGAAAUGGCUACCUGGAUACCCAAGGAGAGCAUUAAUCAUCCCAUCCCAUAUCUGAG
Pan paniscus (pygmy chimpanzee) is the source of this 540-nucleotide long non-coding RNA. The record is from Ensembl. Lineage: Eukaryota; Metazoa; Chordata; Mammalia; Primates; Hominidae.